GGGUUUAACUCCUGCUUGUUACCGUUUCAUCUGGCCGAAGCCGGAUGUCGUUUUGGUGUCUGAUUCGGUAAGGAACCGGGAGCACCAUCUGCGUAGGCUGUUGGUUUAAGACUCGCGCCACCUACGGUCUUGGACAGCCCCCGCAAAGCAGGGACCCCAAAGUGUCGAAGCAGCGCAAUCGCUUACGCCG
Molecule: small RNA, 190 nt
Filed under: Pseudomonas anguilliseptica
Lineage: Bacteria; Pseudomonadati; Pseudomonadota; Gammaproteobacteria; Pseudomonadales; Pseudomonadaceae
Description: Pseudomonas sRNA P27
Rfam family: Pseudomonas sRNA P27
Source: RNAcentral